GUCGACGUAGCUCAGCAGGAUAGAGCAACUGCCUCCUAAGCAGUAGGUCGGAGGUUCGAAUCCCCUCGUCGACGCCA
Molecule: transfer RNA, 77 nt
Filed under: Oscillospiraceae bacterium
Lineage: Bacteria; Bacillati; Bacillota; Clostridia; Eubacteriales; Oscillospiraceae
Description: tRNA-Arg
Rfam family: tRNA
About the family: Transfer RNA (tRNA) molecules are approximately 80 nucleotides in length. Their secondary structure includes four short double-helical elements and three loops (D, anti-codon, and T loops). Further hydrogen bonds mediate the characteristic L-shaped molecular structure. tRNAs have two regions of fundamental functional importance: the anti-codon, which is responsible for specific mRNA codon recognition, and the 3' end, to which the tRNAs corresponding amino acid is attached (by aminoacyl-tRNA synthetases). tRNAs cope with the degeneracy of the genetic code in two manners: having more than one tRNA (with a specific anti-codon) for a particular amino acid; and 'wobble' base-pairing, i.e. permitting non-standard base-pairing at the 3rd anti-codon position.
Source: RNAcentral